UGCUGUGAGCUCGAUGAGUAGGGCGGGACACGUGGUAUCCUGUCUGAAUAUGGGGGGACCAUCCUCCAAGGCUAAAUACUCCUGACUGACCGAUAGUGAACCAGUACCGUGAGGGAAAGGCGAAAAGAACCCCGGCGAGGGGAGUGAAAAAGAACCUGAAACCGUGUACGUACAAGCAGUGGGAGCACAGGUUUACCUGUGUGACUGCGUACCUUUUGUAUAAUGGGUCAGCGACUUAUAUUCUGUAGCAAGGUUAACCGAAUAGGGGAGCCGGAGGGAAACCGAGUCUUAAUUGGGCGUUAAGUUGCAGGGUAUAGACCCGAAACCCGGUGAUCUAGCCAUGGGCAGGUUGAAGGUUGGGUAACACUAACUGGAGGACCGAACCGACUAAUGUUGAAAAAUUAGCGGAUGACCUGUGGCUGGGGGUGAAAGGCCAAUCAAACCGGGAGAUAGCUGGUUCUCCCCGAAAGCUAUUUAGGUAGCGCCUCGUGAAUUCAUCUCCGGGGGUAGAGCACUGUUUCGGCUAGGGGGCCAUCCCGGCUUACCAACCCGAUGCAAACUGCGAAUACCGGAGAAUGUUAUCACGGGAGACACACGGCGGGUGCUAACGUCCGUCGUGAAGAGGGAAACAACCCAGACCGCCAGCUAAGGUCCCAAAGUCAUGGUUAAGUGGGAAACGAUGUGGGAAGGCCCAGACAGCCAGGAUGUUGGCUUAGAAGCAGCCAUCAUUUAAAGAAAGCGUAAUAGCUCACUGGUCGAGUCGGCCUGCGCGGAAGAUGUAACGGGGCUAAACCAUGCACCGAAGCUGCGGCAGCGA
RNAcentral lists this ribosomal RNA (817 nucleotides) under Salmonella enterica subsp. enterica serovar Kentucky. Its description in RNAcentral is "partial 23S ribosomal RNA". It matches the Rfam family "Bacterial large subunit ribosomal RNA", at positions 395 to 1211 of the family's 2925-position model. Lineage: Bacteria; Pseudomonadati; Pseudomonadota; Gammaproteobacteria; Enterobacterales; Enterobacteriaceae. The record is from RNAcentral.